GGCAGCUGUCCUGUCAGCUGAAUGGACUUCCAGCAGAGAAACAACAGAACCAGGAAACUUUGGAUCAGCUGGAAACAGAGAAGAAAGACCACGAGCGGAAGCUGGUGAGGGAGCAAU
Long non-coding RNA from Talpa occidentalis (Iberian mole), 117 nucleotides. RefSeq lists it as uncharacterized. Lineage: Eukaryota; Metazoa; Chordata; Mammalia; Eulipotyphla; Talpidae. The record is from RefSeq and is a predicted model, not a curated record. The transcript is spliced from 3 exons.